This 440-nucleotide ribosomal RNA is filed under the name uncultured bacterium. RNAcentral describes it as "partial 16S ribosomal RNA". It matches the Rfam family "Bacterial small subunit ribosomal RNA", at positions 338 to 795 of the family's 1533-position model. The record is from RNAcentral.
CCUACGGGGGGCAGCAGUGGGGAAUAUUGCACAAUGGGGGAAACCCUGAUGCAGCGACGCCGCGUGAGUGAAGAAGUAUUUCGGUAUGUAAAGCUCUAUCAGCAGGGAAGAAAAUGACGGUACCUGAUUAAGAAGCCCCGGCUAACUACGUGCCAGCAGCCGCGGUAAUACGUAGGGGGCAAGCGUUAUCCGGAUUUACUGGGUGGAAAGGGAGCGUAGACGGCAGCACAAGUCUGGAGUGAAAUGCCGGGGCUUAACCCCGGAACUGCUUUGGAAACUGUGCAGCUAGCGGGCAGGAGAGGUAAGUGGAAGUCCUAGUGGAGCGGUGAAAUGCGUAGAUAGUAGGAGGAACACCAGUGGCGAAGGCGGCUUACUGGACUGUAACUGACGUUGAGGCUCGAAAGCGUGGGGAGCAAACAGGAUUAGAUACCCCAGUAGUC